Non-coding RNA from Pelobates cultripes (western spadefoot toad), 231 nucleotides. The record is from the annotation of a GenBank genome assembly. NCBI's taxonomy places the organism in Eukaryota, Metazoa, Chordata, Amphibia, Anura, Pelobatidae.
GGCUAGAAUACACAGAGAACGCAACUUAUGCUGACACGUAUACAGCAUUUUACAGAGAAAAAGUUCAUUACAUAUAAAGAGCAUCAGAUGUAGGCCUUAAUUUAAUUAUGCUGAACAUUGGAAUCAAGAUCUAUUCCCUCACAAUACCCAUGUCACGUACAUUAAAGGACCACUCUAGGCACCCAGACCACUUCAGCUUAAUGAAGUGGUCUGGGUGCCAGGUCCCUCUAG